This 269-nucleotide ribosomal RNA is filed under the name uncultured archaeon. RNAcentral describes it as "partial 16S ribosomal RNA". It matches the Rfam family "Archaeal small subunit ribosomal RNA", at positions 54 to 322 of the family's 1478-position model. The record is from RNAcentral.
CGAGUCAUAUGUUCUUCGUGAAAUGGCGUACUGCUCAGUAACACGUGGAUAACCUGCCCUUGGGUCCGGCAUAACCCCGGGAAACUGGGGAUAAUUCCGGAUAACGCACAUAUGCUGGAAUGCUUUAUGCGUCAAAUGGAUUCGUCCGCCUAAGGAUGGGUCUGCGGCCUAUCAGGUAGUAGUGGGUGUAAUGUACCUACUAGCCGACGACGGGUACGGGUUGUGAGAGCAAGAGCCCGGAGAUGGAUUCUGAGACAUGAAUCCGGGCC